This 72-nucleotide transfer RNA is filed under the name Patescibacteria group bacterium. RNAcentral describes it as "tRNA-Val". It matches the Rfam family "tRNA". From Rfam's summary of the family: Transfer RNA (tRNA) molecules are approximately 80 nucleotides in length. The record is from RNAcentral.
GGGUGUAUAGCUCAGCGGUAGAAUGUUCGCUUCACAUGCGAAAGGUCGAAGGUUCAAAACCUUCUACACCCA